UUUAUGGGUUUGAGAGGUCUCUAAGAAAGAGUUGAGGGAGGUGAAUCAGUUCUUGAGAGAUAAGGAGAGAUUCUGCAAAAGAAACGAGGUAGAUCGGUAAAGAUUCGAAGGAGUUACGAGCCUCGAUGGGAAAUUUGUGGGUCGUCGGAAUCUGGGCCCAAAUCGCCAAAAAACAGUGAGGUAAGUUCCUUUUAAUUUUAUAAUCUUAUAGAGGGAAGAAAGAGGGAGGUGUAGGAUCAAACGGGGGUUGAAUUGGAGUUAAAAUGAAGGAGAAAAGCCCGAAAAAUGAAGCUGCUACGCAAUCAUCACCGGAGAAGACACGAUGAGUGUAACACAAGCGCUGCUGCUAGCCGCGAGUAGGGGUGCAUGGGUCCCCUCCUACAGGCGAGUAAGAAACAGCCAAACCGACAAUCGUGAAUAGUACCAAGUCAGGUAACUUUGGUGCAACAAGUGUUUCAGGUACUCGGGAGCAAGCAAAGGCAAAGAGGAUAUGGCUUCAUAAUAUUUCUCUUAAUUUGUUACAUUCAAAUAAAUCCAGUUGUUGUAAUCAAACCACUUACAGAUGUCUUGUAAUCUACCACCAAUUUUUAUGCGGGUGUCUUGUGAAAUCAAUUAUUUAUACGAAGAUACUAAUAAUUGAAGCGUG
Diospyros lotus (date-plum) is the source of this 646-nucleotide long non-coding RNA. RefSeq lists it as uncharacterized. Lineage: Eukaryota; Viridiplantae; Streptophyta; Magnoliopsida; Ericales; Ebenaceae. The transcript is spliced from 3 exons. The record is from RefSeq and is a predicted model, not a curated record.